Molecule: small RNA, 124 nt
Filed under: Arabidopsis thaliana (thale cress)
Lineage: Eukaryota; Viridiplantae; Streptophyta; Magnoliopsida; Brassicales; Brassicaceae
Description: ATSL257690
Source: RNAcentral
AUUUGAUGAAUUGAACUCCAAGUUUUUUUUUAUCCAUAAUUUCUCGUAAUACAAAUAUAAAAGCGGAUAACAUGACGCGAAAAAUUUGUACUGAACCGUUUCAUAUCACUUAUAUAAACAAUAU